This 195-nucleotide ribosomal RNA is filed under the name uncultured bacterium. RNAcentral's name for it is "partial 16S ribosomal RNA". It matches the Rfam family "Bacterial small subunit ribosomal RNA", at positions 1306 to 1500 of the family's 1533-position model. The record is from RNAcentral.
UGCAACUCGACUGCACGAAGCUGGAAUCGCUAGUAAUCGCGAAUCAGAAUGUCGCGGUGAAUACGUUCCCGGGUCUUGUACACACCGCCCGUCACACCAUGGGAGUCGGUAACGCCCGAAGUCAGUGACCCAACCGCAAGGAGGGAGCUGCCGAAGGCGGGACUGGUAACUGGGGUGAAGUCGUAACAAGGUAGC